GAUGAACGCUGGCGGCGUGCCUAAUACAUGCAAGUCGAACGCAUAGCGAAAGGUGCUUGCACCUUUCAAGUGAGUGGCGAACGGUUGAGUAACACUUGGACAACCUGCUUCAAGACUGGGGAUAACAUUUGGAAACAGAUGCUAAUACCGAAUAAAACUUAGUCUCGCAUGACACAAAGUUAAAAGGCGCUUCGGCGUCACCUAGAGAUGGAUCCGCGGUGCAUUAGUUAGUUGGUGGGGUAAAGGCCUACCAAGACAAUGAUGCAUAGCCGAGUUGAGAGGCUGAUCGGCCACAUUGGGACUGAGACACGGCCCAGACUCCUACGGGAGGCUGCAGUAGGGAAUCUUCCACAAUGGGCGAAAGCCUGAUGGAGCAACGCCGCGUGUGUGAUGAAGGCUUUCGGGUCGUAAAGCACUGUUGUAUGGGAAGAACAGAUAGGAUAGGAAAUGAUUUUAGUUUGACGGUACCAUACCAGAAAGGGACGGCUAAAUACGUG
RNAcentral lists this ribosomal RNA (497 nucleotides) under uncultured bacterium. RNAcentral's name for it is "partial 16S ribosomal RNA". It matches the Rfam family "Bacterial small subunit ribosomal RNA", at positions 28 to 507 of the family's 1533-position model. The record is from RNAcentral.